Molecule: small nucleolar RNA, 131 nt
Organism: Arvicanthis niloticus (Nile rat)
Lineage: Eukaryota; Metazoa; Chordata; Mammalia; Rodentia; Muridae
Product: small nucleolar RNA SNORA17
Source: RefSeq, a predicted model, not a curated record
GAUGUUCCUAGAAGCACUGCAGGUGUGGCUGCUGUGUCUCAUGUGUGUUAGGGGGUCGCAAAGAGGAAGGAGACAUGGCUACCCUCAGAAUUCUGACCUCUGAACAUCUGAGAGAUUAAUAGCCUAACACU